AAAAAAUUAGUUAAAAUAUAACAUGAGUAUGUCAAGCUCAAAUUAUCGUAAGAUAUUUCUUA
This 62-nucleotide transfer RNA is filed under the name Nothopuga sp. 1 LP-2008. Its description in RNAcentral is "tRNA-Asp". Lineage: Eukaryota; Metazoa; Arthropoda; Arachnida; Solifugae; Ammotrechidae. The record is from RNAcentral.